This 2923-nucleotide ribosomal RNA is filed under the name Staphylococcus aureus. RNAcentral's name for it is "23S ribosomal RNA". It matches the Rfam family "Bacterial large subunit ribosomal RNA". The record is from RNAcentral. Lineage: Bacteria; Bacillati; Bacillota; Bacilli; Caryophanales; Staphylococcaceae.
GAUUAAGUUAUUAAGGGCGCACGGUGGAUGCCUUGGCACUAGAAGCCGAUGAAGGACGUUACUAACGACGAUAUGCUUUGGGGAGCUGUAAGUAAGCUUUGAUCCAGAGAUUUCCGAAUGGGGAAACCCAGCAUGAGUUAUGUCAUGUUAUCGAUAUGUGAAUACAUAGCAUAUCAGAAGGCACACCCGGAGAACUGAAACAUCUUAGUACCCGGAGGAAGAGAAAGAAAAUUCGAUUCCCUUAGUAGCGGCGAGCGAAACGGGAAGAGCCCAAACCAACAAGCUUGCUUGUUGGGGUUGUAGGACACUCUAUACGGAGUUACAAAGGACGACAUUAGACGAAUCAUCUGGAAAGAUGAAUCAAAGAAGGUAAUAAUCCUGUAGUCGAAAAUGUUGUCUCUCUUGAGUGGAUCCUGAGUACGACGGAGCACGUGAAAUUCCGUUGGAAUCUGGGAGGACCAUCUCCUAAGGCUAAAUACUCUCUAGUGACCGAUAGUGAACCAGUACCGUGAGGGAAAGGUGAAAAGCACCCCGGAAGGGGAGUGAAAUAGAACCUGAAACCGUGUGCUUACAAGUAGUCAGAGCCCGCUAAUGGGUGAUGGCGUGCCUUUUGUAGAAUGAACCGGCGAGUUACGAUUUGAUGCAAGGUUAAGCAGUAAAUGUGGAGCCGUAGCGAAAGCGAGUCUGAAUAGGGCGUUUAGUAUUUGGUCGUAGACCCGAAACCAGGUGAUCUACCCUUGGUCAGGUUGAAGUUCAGGUAACACUGAAUGGAGGACCGAACCGACUUACGUUGAAAAGUGAGCGGAUGAACUGAGGGUAGCGGAGAAAUUCCAAUCGAACCUGGAGAUAGCUGGUUCUCUCCGAAAUAGCUUUAGGGCUAGCCUCAAGUGAUGAUUAUUGGAGGUAGAGCACUGUUUGGACGAGGGGCCCCUCUCGGGUUACCGAAUUCAGACAAACUCCGAAUGCCAAUUAAUUUAACUUGGGAGUCAGAACAUGGGUGAUAAGGUCCGUGUUCGAAAGGGAAACAGCCCAGACCACCAGCUAAGGUCCCAAAAUAUAUGUUAAGUGGAAAAGGAUGUGGCGUUGCCCAGACAACUAGGAUGUUGGCUUAGAAGCAGCCAUCAUUUAAAGAGUGCGUAAUAGCUCACUAGUCGAGUGACACUGCGCCGAAAAUGUACCGGGGCUAAACAUAUUACCGAAGCUGUGGAUUGUCCUUUGGACAAUGGUAGGAGAGCGUUCUAAGGGCGUUGAAGCAUGAUCGUAAGGACAUGUGGAGCGCUUAGAAGUGAGAAUGCCGGUGUGAGUAGCGAAAGACGGGUGAGAAUCCCGUCCACCGAUUGACUAAGGUUUCCAGAGGAAGGCUCGUCCGCUCUGGGUUAGUCGGGUCCUAAGCUGAGGCCGACAGGCGUAGGCGAUGGAUAACAGGUUGAUAUUCCUGUACCACCUAUAAUCGUUUUAAUCGAUGGGGGGACGCAGUAGGAUAGGCGAAGCGUGCGAUUGGAUUGCACGUCUAAGCAGUAAGGCUGAGUAUUAGGCAAAUCCGGUACUCAUUAAGGCUGAGCUGUGAUGGGGAGAAGACAUUGUGUCUUCGAGUCGUUGAUUUCACACUGCCGAGAAAAGCCUCUAGAUAGAAAAUAGGUGCCCGUACCGCAAACCGACACAGGUAGUCAAGAUGAGAAUUCUAAGGUGAGCGAGCGAACUCUCGUUAAGGAACUCGGCAAAAUGACCCCGUAACUUCGGGAGAAGGGGUGCUCUUUAGGGUUAACGCCCAGAAGAGCCGCAGUGAAUAGGCCCAAGCGACUGUUUAUCAAAAACACAGGUCUCUGCUAAACCGUAAGGUGAUGUAUAGGGGCUGACGCCUGCCCGGUGCUGGAAGGUUAAGAGGAGUGGUUAGCUUCUGCGAAGCUACGAAUCGAAGCCCCAGUAAACGGCGGCCGUAACUAUAACGGUCCUAAGGUAGCGAAAUUCCUUGUCGGGUAAGUUCCGACCCGCACGAAAGGCGUAACGAUUUGGGCACUGUCUCAACGAGAGACUCGGUGAAAUCAUAGUACCUGUGAAGAUGCAGGUUACCCGCGACAGGACGGAAAGACCCCGUGGAGCUUUACUGUAGCCUGAUAUUGAAAUUCGGCACAGCUUGUACAGGAUAGGUAGGAGCCUUUGAAACGUGAGCGCUAGCUUACGUGGAGGCGCUGGUGGGAUACUACCCUAGCUGUGUUGGCUUUCUAACCCGCACCACUUAUCGUGGUGGGAGACAGUGUCAGGCGGGCAGUUUGACUGGGGCGGUCGCCUCCUAAAAGGUAACGGAGGCGCUCAAAGGUUCCCUCAGAAUGGUUGGAAAUCAUUCAUAGAGUGUAAAGGCAUAAGGGAGCUUGACUGCGAGACCUACAAGUCGAGCAGGGUCGAAAGACGGACUUAGUGAUCCGGUGGUUCCGCAUGGAAGGGCCAUCGCUCAACGGAUAAAAGCUACCCCGGGGAUAACAGGCUUAUCUCCCCCAAGAGUUCACAUCGACGGGGAGGUUUGGCACCUCGAUGUCGGCUCAUCGCAUCCUGGGGCUGUAGUCGGUCCCAAGGGUUGGGCUGUUCGCCCAUUAAAGCGGUACGCGAGCUGGGUUCAGAACGUCGUGAGACAGUUCGGUCCCUAUCCGUCGUGGGCGUAGGAAAUUUGAGAGGAGCUGUCCUUAGUACGAGAGGACCGGGAUGGACAUACCUCUGGUGUACCAGUUGUCGUGCCAACGGCAUAGCUGGGUAGCUAUGUGUGGACGGGAUAAGUGCUGAAAGCAUCUAAGCAUGAAGCCCCCCUCAAGAUGAGAUUUCCCAACUUCGGUUAUAAGAUCCCUCAAAGAUGAUGAGGUUAAUAGGUUCGAGGUGGAAGCAUGGUGACAUGUGGAGCUGACGAAUACUAAUCGAUCGAAGACUUAAUCAA